GAUGAAGAACGUAGCGAAAUGCGAUACGUAAUGUGAAUUGCAGAAUUCAGUGAAUCAUCGAAUCUUUGAACGCAUAUUGCGCUCUCUGGUAUUCCGGAGAGCAUGCUUGUUUGAGUAUCAGUAAACACCUCAACUUCCAUAUCUUUUUUGAAAUGGGAGUUGGACUUGAGUGAUCCCAACGCUUUUCCUCACCGAAAAGUGGCGGGUUACUUGAAAUGCGGGUGCAGCUGGACUUUUCUCUGAGCUAUAAGCAUAUCUAUUUAGUCUGCCUAAAAAACAGAUUAUUACCUUUGCUGCAGCUAACAUAAAGGAGAUUAGUUCUUGUGCUGACUGAUGCAGGAUUCACAAAGACAGCUUCGGCCGACUUUGUAAACUCGAUCUCAAAUCAAGUAAGACUACCCGCUGAACUUAAGCAUAUCAAUAAGCGGAGGA
Molecule: unclassified non-coding RNA, 432 nt
Filed under: soil metagenome
Description: partial contains 5.8S ribosomal RNA, internal transcribed spacer 2, and large subunit ribosomal RNA
Rfam family: 5.8S ribosomal RNA (bases 1-120)
Source: RNAcentral